RNAcentral lists this ribosomal RNA (253 nucleotides) under uncultured bacterium. RNAcentral's name for it is "partial 16S ribosomal RNA". It matches the Rfam family "Bacterial small subunit ribosomal RNA", at positions 524 to 776 of the family's 1533-position model. The record is from RNAcentral.
UACAGAGGGUGCAAGCGUUGUUCGGAAUUAUUGGGCGUAAAGGGCGCGUAGGCGGUGCUGUAAGUCUGUGGUGAAAUCUCUGGGCUCAACCCAGAGGCUGCUUCCAAAACUGCCGUGCUUGAGUGUGGGAGAGGCGCGUGGAAUUGCAGGUGUAGCGGCGAAAUGCGUAGAUAUCUGCAGGAACACCCGUGGCGAAAGCGGCGCGCUGGACCACAACUGACGCUGAGGAACGAAAGCUAGGGGAGCAAACAGG